This 2134-nucleotide long non-coding RNA is filed under the name Helianthus annuus (common sunflower). RNAcentral describes it as "sRNA HanXRQr2_Chr05g0225891". Lineage: Eukaryota; Viridiplantae; Streptophyta; Magnoliopsida; Asterales; Asteraceae. The record is from RNAcentral.
UUUUCCUUCUUUCAUAAUUCUAUAUUUUAUUUUACUUCAUCUAUAAUAAUAAUAAUAAUAAAGCUCUGCUCUGUUUUAAGUAUUAUAACUCCCGAUCACCGCUACCCUUUCCGAUUGAUCUGAGUCCCAUAACGCAUGUUAAGGCUCUGCCCGACUAAGUUCGUUUGGAUUCUAUCUCGGGACUUCGGGACAAGGUUGAAUUAGGGGUACUAUACUUAACACGAGUGCAUUAUAUUUUUUAUAGCCCAAAAGGUAUCCCCAAAAUUUAUACCAGGAGUCCUUCUAGUUGAACCCUAAAGUUACACAGUGGGUCCAUUCCUUUUUCUCACCAUUUUAUUCUCUUUUUGUGAAUUAUCCCAAAACUAUUAUUAUUUAUUAUUUCUAUUUUGUAAACAACUUUCAUCAAAAGUCAUGCCUAUUAUUUUAUUUACCCGAUAGGAAACCAUAGUUGAGACACCCAAGUAAUCCUGCACAACUCCUAAAAUAUUUUCAUAACAAUCAGAAUCGGGAUCAGGGCCCCUAAAACUCAGAGGAGGCAAUCCCCAUUCGAUAUUAUCUUCAAAGUCUGUUGUCAAAAUUUAAUUUUAAUAUUUCAUCGACUCAGCAAGCCUACACCCACACGUGGCCACCCUAUAGUGAAAAUGUGUCCCUUACGGACCGUAAGGGAUUAGGCUUACGGUCCGUAAGCCUGUCAAAAUUGGUGUAUAAAUAGCAGGCAUCGAGACUUGAUUUCUUGCAUUUGUACGACGAUCAAAUUCAAUUGGUACGUCGAGAUAUAGCCGAAACAGUCUCCAAAUCACUAAUUAGUAGAGGGGGUGCUGCUACGAUACAGGGUAUUAACUCGAUCGCUAUUACGAUUCAUUUUCCGACCGAUCAAUAUAUCCAAUGGAUGUUUAAGUGCCACCCACAUUAGGGUUAUACUUUGUCGUUCGUCGUUAAAUCGAUGGAUGUUUAAGUAUCGCACUUUGUCGUUCGUUGUGAGAAUUUGAUCUCGUGAGUUAUCGUAAUUGUUGUAUUAAGUUACCUACCUAGUUCGUAUGCACUAGGUUACAAGGCUAAAUCAAUAGGCUAAGCUCUGCCUGUGUAAAUCUGCAAUAUAUCAAGGCUUAUCUGUAGACCAAACUUUGGCCGUAUGAAUCUGCAUGAUUAUAAAGUAAUUACAGUACAUUGGAAUAAGAAUUGGAUCCGGCACCGAAGGCAUCAAGAAGUGGCUUAUUUUAUUAAUUAAAUCAAAUUAAGAAAAUAUUGUUUUUAUUAAAAGCUACCUUUGAAACAAUGGAAUUUAUUCCAUCUAUUUAAAUAAAAUCCGGUGUUUCUAAACUCUGAUAUUUUUCCUAACUCACGGUCCUGAUGAAAUUUCCGCUGCAAUGUUUUUCAAAAUAAUCACCGGUACCACUGGACUGCUCACGGCACCGAUUCCGGCCAGAUGGGGUCGGGGGUCGUGACAAUUGAACCCUACCAGAGGAACAGAUAAUGAAAGCCAAAACCGGAUCAUAACAGUGGACUUAUAAUAAACAGCUGCUUACACUUGGUUUUCCCCUUGACAGUGGUAUUCUAACAGCUGAUGGAUCUUAAGUACUGCUCACUAUAACAACUGAUGAACCAAACACUGAUGAGAUUCUAAAGACUGCUGAAGACAAACAUUGUUGCUCUAUCUACUGCUGUUUCAUAAGUACAGCUGAAGACACAAGCACUGCCCAGUCAAAGACUGAUCACCUUUGAAGAAAGCACUAAAGCUCAACAUCAGUGCUCAGGCUACAACAGUGGAACAGUUGUUAUCUCUUGUUUUGUAUUGUACUUAUAAUCAGAUGUUACACAUCAGUAGUUUGUUUAAUACAGUGUUUAUAGAUUGUUAGUUUAUUAGAUGUCACUAUCAUGGUAACGUCAGCUGAGAUGCUUCAGUGGUUUGGUUUGCCUAUAAAUGGAGCAGUACCCUGUACUGUUACAUUUGAUUAACUGAGUGGUUUCUUCUCCUCCAGUCUAAUCCUUUCAUCUUGUGCAACCAACCUUGGGGUAUUAGGCUGAGGGGGAGCUUAGUUAUGUAAGCAUGCUUGUAAUCUUUUGAUUUUCAUUGUAAUCAUUCGACUCAAAGUAAAGCAAGUGUUUAUCAUAUUAUUCUCUUCUUUGAUUGUGU